This 406-nucleotide ribosomal RNA is filed under the name uncultured bacterium. Its description in RNAcentral is "partial 16S ribosomal RNA". It matches the Rfam family "Bacterial small subunit ribosomal RNA", at positions 30 to 526 of the family's 1533-position model. The record is from RNAcentral.
AUUGAACGCUGGCGGCAGGCCUAACACAUGCAAGUCGAACGAGUGGCGGACGGGUGAGCAAUGUCUGGGAAACUGCCCGAUGGAGGGGGAUAACUACUGGAAACGGUAGCUAAUACCGCAUACCAUCGGAUGUGCCCAGGUGGGAUUAGCUAGUCGGUGGGGUAACGGCUCACCUAGGCGACGAUCCCUAGCUGGCCUGAGAGGAUGACCAGCCACACUGGAACUGAGACACGGCCCAGACUCCUACGGGAGGCAGCAGUGGGGAAUAUUGCACAAUGGGCGCAAGCCUGAUGCAGCAAUGCCGCGUGUAUGAAGAAGGCCUUCGGGUUGUAAAGUACUUUCAGCGAGGAGGCGUUACUUACACAGGAAGCACCGGCUAACUCCGUGCCAGCAGCCGCGGUAAUAC